GGAGGCGAAAAGAGUCCGGUGACUUUCCCGGCCUUCAAAGCCGGUGAUUCGGUCCUUCGCGGGUCGAAUGGUGGGUUCGACUCCCACACGCUUCCGCCA
RNAcentral lists this transfer RNA (99 nucleotides) under Chloroflexi bacterium 13_1_20CM_54_36. RNAcentral's name for it is "tRNA-Sec". It matches the Rfam family "Selenocysteine transfer RNA". Lineage: Bacteria; Bacillati; Chloroflexota. RNAcentral also lists the same sequence under 3 other names. The record is from RNAcentral.